RNAcentral lists this transfer RNA (77 nucleotides) under Clostridiaceae bacterium. RNAcentral's name for it is "tRNA-Arg". It matches the Rfam family "tRNA". Rfam says of the family: Transfer RNA (tRNA) molecules are approximately 80 nucleotides in length. RNAcentral also lists the same sequence under 2 other names. The record is from RNAcentral. Lineage: Bacteria; Bacillati; Bacillota; Clostridia; Eubacteriales; Clostridiaceae.
GCGCCCGUAGCUCAGUAGGAUAGAGCACAAGUUUCCUAAACUUGGUGUCGCACGUUCGAAUCGUGUCGGGCGUACCA